UGCCAGAUGGUGAAAUGGUAUCACAAAGGACUCUGAAUCCUUUUUUCUAGGUCCGAAUCCUAGUCUGGCAA
Molecule: transfer RNA, 71 nt
Filed under: bacterium
Lineage: Bacteria
Description: tRNA-Gln
Rfam family: tRNA
About the family: Transfer RNA (tRNA) molecules are approximately 80 nucleotides in length. Their secondary structure includes four short double-helical elements and three loops (D, anti-codon, and T loops). Further hydrogen bonds mediate the characteristic L-shaped molecular structure. tRNAs have two regions of fundamental functional importance: the anti-codon, which is responsible for specific mRNA codon recognition, and the 3' end, to which the tRNAs corresponding amino acid is attached (by aminoacyl-tRNA synthetases). tRNAs cope with the degeneracy of the genetic code in two manners: having more than one tRNA (with a specific anti-codon) for a particular amino acid; and 'wobble' base-pairing, i.e. permitting non-standard base-pairing at the 3rd anti-codon position.
Source: RNAcentral